ACGCUCGACACCUACGGGAGCAGCAGUGGGAAUAUUGCACAAUGGGGGAAACCCUGAUGCAGCGACGCCGCGUGGAGGAAGAAGGUCUUCGGAUUGUAAACUCCUGUUGUUGGGGAAAAAGAGGAUGGUACCCAACAAGGAAGUGACGGCUAACUACGUGCCACAGCCGCGGUAAUCUGAGCGGGCUGGCAAGGC
Molecule: ribosomal RNA, 195 nt
Filed under: uncultured bacterium
Lineage: Bacteria
Description: partial 16S ribosomal RNA
Rfam family: Bacterial small subunit ribosomal RNA
Source: RNAcentral